GCUCUACUUCUCUUUGUUUUCCAUGCAUCUAAUGCAUGUGCUGUUUAAAAUAGCGCAUCCUACACUGGUUUCUUGUCACUUGCAGUACGUGGCCUAUAUUCCAGUAAGGCCUAUAGGUCGUAUUUUUAAACAUAAUUUAGGCUGAUUUAAAGUUGCAUAGAUCGACACGGCGCAGCAUUUAUUCUGUGAUUUUUUUUUUUCACGAGUCUGAAAAGUGUUUAAACUGUGUACCGAAAGCUAAGGAUUUUAAUUUCUCUACAUCCCUAUCAUGAUUCCAGUCCAAGCUCUCCCAGUCCUGUAACACAACAGAUGACGGCCAUGACCAUCUCCCAGGAUUCGGGGGCCAUAGACUCGGAUCGAGCGGAGACCGAGGACGGGGAAGAGGAGGGUACUUCCGGUAGCACAGAACCUGUUGGUGAAGCAGCGCAGGCUUCAUCAGAUGGAGACCAGACCUCGGAUAAAAACAAGAAAAAGAACCGCUGCUUUUCAUGCCG
Long non-coding RNA from Cynoglossus semilaevis (tongue sole), 494 nucleotides. RefSeq lists it as uncharacterized. Lineage: Eukaryota; Metazoa; Chordata; Actinopteri; Pleuronectiformes; Cynoglossidae. The transcript has 2 exons. The record is from RefSeq and is a predicted model, not a curated record.